This 1821-nucleotide ribosomal RNA is filed under the name Triticum aestivum (bread wheat). RNAcentral describes it as "partial small subunit ribosomal RNA". The record is from RNAcentral. Lineage: Eukaryota; Viridiplantae; Streptophyta; Magnoliopsida; Poales; Poaceae.
AUGGCAGGCGGCGGCGGCGGCGGCGGCGGGAAGAAAGACCGCGGCGAGGGGCUGGGGCGCGCUCUUGUCCGGCAGCGCAACAAGCAGGCCUUGGCCGCCAAGGCGAGGGGCCAGCAGCUCGUGAUCUCCCGCCGCGCGCAGCAGGCGCUGCCGCUCGAGUCCGUCAUCGAGGUCAGCGACAUCGACGCCGUCCUGCAGCGGGCCGCCGAGGAGGAGCUCCUCCACGGCGACGACGCGGAAGGCGCCGCCGCCCUGACCGCCGCGCUCCGCUCCGGCCUCAUCGAUCUGGAUGGGACGGGGGACACGCAGGAGGAGAGGCGGCUUCUGCGGGAGGAGCAGGAGGCCCUGCACGCCGACAGCCUGAGGGUGCCCCGCCGGCCCCCGUGGACUGCCCAGAUGACCACCGAGGAGCUCGACACCAACGAGAAGCGGGCUUUCCUGGAGUGGCGGAGGAACCUCGCGAGAUUGCAAGAGAAUGAAGAACUUGUCCUUACGCCUUUUGAGAAGAAUCUUGAUAUCUGGAGACAACUGUGGAGAGUACUUGAACGCAGCGAUUUGCUCGUGAUGGUCGUUGAUUCUCGAAAUCCCUUGUUCUACCGUUGCCCUGAUCUUGAGGAAUAUGCACAGGAAAUUGAUGAGCACAAGAGAACACUGCUUCUUGUAAACAAGGCUGAUCUUUUACCACUGAGUGUCAGGCGGAAAUGGGCAGAUUACUUUAAGGAACAUGAUAUUCUCUAUCUAUUCUGGUCUGCUAAAGCUGCUACCGCAGUGUUAGAAGGGAAAAAAUUGAGCAGCCAAACCAUGGAAGAAUCAGAUACAGAUCUUGAUACAAAGAUAUAUGGCCGGGAAGAGCUCCUGGUGAGGUUGCAGGGCGAAGCGGAGUAUAUAGUGAGCCAAAAGGGUACAUCCGCUGCUGGAGAGGAACAUGAAUCUAGUUCUGAUUCUGCCUUGGUGCGACCCAAGCGUGUGGUUGUUGGAUUUGUUGGCUAUCCAAAUGUUGGGAAGAGUUCAACCAUCAAUGCUCUGGUCGGUGAGAAGAAGACUGGUGUAACAUCUACACCUGGCAAGACCAAGCAUUUCCAGACACUGAUAAUCUCAGAAGAGCUCAUGCUGUGUGAUUGUCCUGGUCUGGUCUUCCCUUCUUUUUCAAGCUCGAGGCAUGAGAUGGUGGCGUGUGGUGUCUUGCCAAUUGAUAGAAUGACAAAGCACAGAGGAGCAAUUCAAGUGGUAGCAAAUCGUGUGCCAAGAAAUAUCCUGGAACAGGUUUACAAAAUCACCCUGCCAAAGCCCAAGGCAUAUGAAGAAGCAUCUCGACCACCAACCGCCGCUGAGUUGUUGAUGGCGUACUGCACAUCUCGGGGGCAUGUCAGCCAUGCUGGGCUGCCUGAUGAGACCAGGGCUGCUCGGCAGAUACUGAAGGAUUACAUUGAUGGAAAGAUUCCGCACUUUGAGCUUCCUCCUGGUGAGAUAGACGAUGAAACUGAUGCAGAGGACAACAGUGACCUAGAAGGAUCAAGCACUGCAGCAGCUGAUCAAUCAGACGAUGGUGCUUCUGAUGAAGAUGAUGAGGAAAUCAAUCGAGCUGAACCUAACAUCAGUCAUGCCCUAAACGACCUUGCAUCUUUUGACAUGAAUGGCCAAAUGACCAAGGGUUCCACAAAGAAGAAGAAGAAAGAAGCAUCCCACAAGCACCACCGGAAACCCCAGAGGAAGAAGGAUCGAUCAUGGAGGGUUGGAAACGAUGGUGCUGAUGGGUCGGGGGUUAUACGGGUGGUCCAGAAACCCGCCGUUAAUCUUGCUGCCAGUACACUAGCGUCGUAG